This 497-nucleotide ribosomal RNA is filed under the name uncultured bacterium. Its description in RNAcentral is "partial 16S ribosomal RNA". It matches the Rfam family "Bacterial small subunit ribosomal RNA", at positions 28 to 507 of the family's 1533-position model. The record is from RNAcentral.
GAUGAACGCUGGCGGCGUGCCUAAUACAUGCAAGUCGAGCGAACGGACGAGAAGCUUGCUUUUCUGAUGUUAGCGGCGGACGGGUGAGUAACACGUGGAUAACCUACCUAUAAGACUGGGAUAACUUCGGGAAACCGGAGCUAAUACCGGAUAAUAUUUUGAACCGCAUGGUUCAAAAGUGAAAGACGGUCUUGCUGUCACUUAUAGAUGGAUCCGCGCUGCAUUAGCUAGUUGGGAAGGUAACGGCUUCCCAAGGCAACGAUGCAUAGCCGACCUGAGGGGGUGAUCGGCCACACUGGAACUGAGACACGGUCCAGACUCCUACGGGAGGCAGCAGUAGGGAAUCUUCCGCAAUGGGCGAAAGCCUGACGGAGCAACGCCGCGUGAGUGAUGAAGGUCUUCAGAUCGUAAAACUCUGUUAUUAGGGAAGAACAUAUGUGUAAGUAACUGUGCACAUCUUGACGGUACCUAAUCAGAAAGCCACGGCUAACUACGUG